Molecule: long non-coding RNA, 385 nt
Filed under: Populus trichocarpa (black cottonwood)
Lineage: Eukaryota; Viridiplantae; Streptophyta; Magnoliopsida; Malpighiales; Salicaceae
Description: long non-coding RNA (PTRI_LNC000713)
Source: RNAcentral
AUUUUGAUUUCUGCAACAAGAAGAUAACUGCUACCUCUGCAAUUUUGACAUAAUUAGCUAACAACACUGCCCUUUAAGUGCCUUACGGCCUAUCGCUUUGUUUGCACUUUUGUUGUUGUUUACGACUCUAUCUAUACUAUUUUUAACAUCUCUUUACUCUACUUUUAUUUUAUUUCAUCUUCUGUUGUUCAUGUACUGAAACCAUUUGGUUUUCGUCAAGAUAAACCACAAUAUUGCUCCCAUGUGCUACCUCCACGCAGCCUGUAGUUUCCCACGGCAAAGAUUCAAGAUAAAAUGUACGGGGAAAAUAUUGUUUUUCUUUACCUUUUUUGCACUUUGUAAUAGUAAUUCAUACCCUUUUUUUUUGUUUUGUUUUGUAUUUUGA